GCGGGCAGCUUCGCAACCCAGCGCUCAACCGCUGCGCCACCGGGGAGGCCCGAAAAGAUAUCUUUUCUAACCUGUAUCAGAGCAUAGACCAUCACCCAGAGACUGGAACCUCAAGAUUGAUGCAACAACUGAGCAAGACUCUGUGAAUAUCUCCCUUGGUGAAGAGGGUGCUUUCCUCUAGUACAUAGUAACAGGCACAAAGCUUGAGCUGCUGAAGCACUUGUCUAACCAGGUAUGGCCUGGGGACCCGAAUCUUGCUGCAUUGUCAGUCCACAAGUACCAAGGCUUGCUGAAGAUCUCCCAUGUGUCUGCAAGAACCCACUCCUAUAUUCAUUUGUUUCCAGAGGUAACUAUGCCUGUUUCUCCAUGGGAAUACCAGUACCUCCUGACUCAAAACCUGUCAUCUUAUCAGUACCACAGAUCCUCUCCAUCAGACUUUCACCACAUGUUAACUUCUGGGGAGAGCUGGCAAAGUUCACUGACAACAUCCUUCCUCUUUACAUCGCUGCUAAUGUCCCAUCUUCCACUGAAAUCGUUGUAGCCAAGUUCACCCACUACCUCAUUCUCUCUCUGUGAGUGGAACACUUAAACAUCUCAGAGGAUCGUCCAGCCUGCUCUCCUCUGCUGUGUUAAAGACUCCAGAUGGCACAGCUACAAGAGAGACAAAGACCCACAACCACCUUGAACUUGAUAAGAAGAGCAACUGAAGGACUCCCCCACCGCACCCCAAUGAAUGAACGUUUGAAAGAAGGUGACAAUUUCAGUGGAGGAUAAAACACUGUCUUAUCUUGUCAGUAGUGACUUUUUGCUUUGAAAUGGCAAACUAGUUUCAAGACACAUCAAGAAUUGUAGUCAACUAGCUCCUGAUGUCUCUUUGCAACUGACUGGGUGGAACACAGCAGGAUACCUGUAGAGACACAUCUACAAAUGGACAUGUGAGUGGAAAAUAAAAACAUAGGCACUGC
Talpa occidentalis (Iberian mole) is the source of this 965-nucleotide long non-coding RNA. RefSeq lists it as uncharacterized. The record is from RefSeq and is a predicted model, not a curated record. The transcript is spliced from 7 exons. Lineage: Eukaryota; Metazoa; Chordata; Mammalia; Eulipotyphla; Talpidae.